GACGAAAGUCUGACGGAGCAACGCCGCGUGUACGACGAAGGCCUUCGGGUUGUAAAGUACUGUCUUCAGGGACGAACGGUAGGUAUGAAAAUAUUGUACUUACAUGACGGUACCAUGGGAGGAAGCCCCGGCUAACUACGUGCCAGCAGCCGCGGUAAUACGUAGGGGGCAAGCGUUGUCCGGAAUUAUUGGGCGUAAAGGGUGCGUAGGCGGCCUUUCAAGUUGGAUGUGAAAUCUCCGUGCUUAACAUGGAAAUUGCAUUCAAAACUGGAGGGCUUGAGUGUGGAAGAGGUAAGUGGAAUUCCCAGUGUAGCGGUGAAAUGCGUAGAUAUUGGGAGGAACACCAGUGGCGAAGGCGACUUACUGGGCCACAACUGACGCUGAUGCACGAAAGCGUGGGGAGCAAACAGGAUUAGAUACCCUGGUAGUCCACGCUGUAAACGAUGGAUACUAGGUGUAGGGGGUAACACCCCCCCUGUGCCGCAGCAAACGCAUUAAGUAUCCCCGCCUGGGGAGU
This 517-nucleotide ribosomal RNA is filed under the name uncultured bacterium. RNAcentral describes it as "bacterial SSU rRNA". It matches the Rfam family "Bacterial small subunit ribosomal RNA", at positions 374 to 881 of the family's 1533-position model. The record is from RNAcentral.